Molecule: ribosomal RNA, 556 nt
Filed under: Onychodactylus fischeri (Fischer's clawed salamander)
Lineage: Eukaryota; Metazoa; Chordata; Amphibia; Caudata; Hynobiidae
Description: partial 16S ribosomal RNA
Rfam family: Bacterial large subunit ribosomal RNA
Source: RNAcentral
GCCUCUUGCAAUUAAAGUAUAAGAGGUCCUGCCUGCCCAGUGACAUUAGUUUAACGGCCGCGGUAUUAUGACCGUGCAAAGGUAGCGUAAUCACUUGUCUUUUAAAUAAAGACCUGUAUGAAUGGCAAAACGAAAGUUCAACUGUCUCCCUAAGUUAAUCAGUGAAAUUGAUUUUUCCGUGCAGAAGCGGAAAUAAAUUUAUAAGACGAGAAGACCCUAUGGAGCUUCAAAUAUAAAUCAAUUGUUUUAAUUAAAAAUCAACCAAAAAAUAUAAUAAAACAUAAUGAUUAAAAUUUUAGGUUGGGGCGACCACGGAAAAAAACAAAACUUCCGAGAUGAAAUAUUAUUAAUGAACAACAGUUCUAAAAAAUAAAAUAUUUAACAUAAUUGAUCCAAUAUUUGAUCAACGAACCAAGUUACCCUAGGGAUAACAGCGCAAUCCUUUCUAAGAGUCCUUAUCGACGAAUGGGUUUACGACCUCGAUGUUGGAUCAGGACACCCCAAUGGUGUAGCCGCUAUUAAAGGUUCGUUUGUUCAACGAUUAAAGUCCUACGUG